Papaver somniferum (opium poppy) is the source of this 974-nucleotide long non-coding RNA. RefSeq lists it as uncharacterized. The record is from RefSeq and is a predicted model, not a curated record. The transcript has 2 exons. NCBI's taxonomy places the organism in Eukaryota, Viridiplantae, Streptophyta, Magnoliopsida, Ranunculales, Papaveraceae.
UUGAUCGUGAUAAAGCCUUAGUUUUUUUUUAUUUUCCUCUAAAAGAUACAGCCGUGAGUUUCACGUUCUAAUUUUUUUUCACUCACUGAAUCUGCUGUUGCAGGAAUACAAAUUAGAGGUGCAACAACAACAUAUUUCGUAGAUGAAAGAACCCAUCCAAAGGUUUGAUUUGGGUAUCAAGCAAUCUCAAUCGAGAUCGGUAAUGUGAAUAUAUCGAUCUAAAUCAAUGGAUUAUUCGUUUAACUUUGAACUAUUAAACGGUGCGGGAAGAUUAGUAGAAAACUUUCAACUUAAUUAUGGGCUAAUGGAUAGGGAUACGGUUUUAGUCCAACCCGUAACUUCGUCUCCUUCACCUGAGAAAUUUCUGCGUAUUCAUCUGUGUAUUUUACAAAUUUGAAUUUCUUGCUUUUGUGUGUGUGAUUGAAUUGGAUUAUCCAAAUAAAUUUGAUUCGUUUUACUUUUGAGAUGGAUUUGGUAUUCUAGUGAGUAAUAAUUAGGAUACUGUCGAAGAAGAUUGGAAUUCGGGGUAAUCUGUAUAUAAGUUCAGAAUUAAAAUCAGAGUUGCUGUUUCUCUCUGAAGCAAUGAUACUGGUGGUGCUGGUUUCUUGAAUUGAAGGAAUGAUAGACGCGGUGUUGCAUCCGUAAUGGUCUAGGUGGUGCUGCUAGUUACGUGGUGAAGAAAUAGCGUAGCAGAGAUGGUGGUAAAGGAAUUACAGAGAAAUCGAGAGGAGGAGGAAGAAGAAGAAUGGAGGAAAAAUGAACUUUUUGGAGGUGGCCGGAAUCGACCCCAGCACCUCUAACUUGAUUCCGCUUUUUUCUUCUUUUCAGUUUACAAAAAUAUCCUCGAUAUUGUAAUUAUUUACUUCUGUUUAAGGGAAGGUAAACAUUAAGGAGGGACAGUGUUGUCCUUUCAUCUUUGAACCAAAUCUAAUCUUUUUGGUCUAAUUGGAAAAAAGUGGGACACAAAGUCACCA